GAUGAACGCUGGCGGCGUGCUUAACACAUGCAAGUCGAACGGAAAGGCCCUGCUUUUGUGGGGUGCUCGAGUGGCGAAGGGGGGAGUAACACGUGAGUAACCUGCCCUUGUCUUUGGGAUAACAUCAGGAAACUGGGGCGAAUACCGGAUAGGAGCUCCUGCUGCAUGGUGGGGGUUGGAAAGAGUCGGCGGUUGGGGAUGGACUGGCGGCUUAUCAGCUAGUUGGGGGGGUAGUGGCGUCCCAAGGUUUUGACGGGUAGCCCGCCUGGGAGGGUGGCCGGCCUCCUUGGUCCUGCGGUACGGCCCAGUGUGCUACGGUCGGCAGCAGUGGGGAGUAUUGCGCAAUGAGCCCACGCCUGAUACGAAGGCGCCGCGUGCGGAAUGCCGGCUUUCGGGUUAUAAACCGCUUUCGCCUGUGACGAAGCGUGAGUGACGGUAAUGGGUAAAGAAGCACCGGCUAACUACGUG
RNAcentral lists this ribosomal RNA (468 nucleotides) under uncultured bacterium. RNAcentral's name for it is "partial 16S ribosomal RNA". It matches the Rfam family "Bacterial small subunit ribosomal RNA", at positions 28 to 507 of the family's 1533-position model. The record is from RNAcentral.